AUUUGUCUAGUAUAAUAAGUAUAUUUGACUUCCAAUCAAAAGGUCUGAAUAUCUUCAGGACAAAUA
This 66-nucleotide transfer RNA is filed under the name Pteronarcys princeps (ebony salmonfly). RNAcentral's name for it is "tRNA-Gly". The record is from RNAcentral. Lineage: Eukaryota; Metazoa; Arthropoda; Insecta; Plecoptera; Pteronarcyidae. RNAcentral also lists the same sequence under 1 other name.